Molecule: ribosomal RNA, 468 nt
Filed under: uncultured bacterium
Lineage: Bacteria
Description: partial 16S ribosomal RNA
Rfam family: Bacterial small subunit ribosomal RNA
Source: RNAcentral
GACGAACGCUGGCGGCGUGCUUAACACAUGCAAGUCGAACGGAAAGGCCCUGCUUUUGUGGGGUGCUCGAGUGGCGAACGGGUGAGUAACACGUGAGUAACCUGCCCUUGACUUUGGGAUAACUUCAGGAAACUGGGGCUAAUACCGGAUAGGAGCUCCUGCUGCAUGGUGGGGGUUGGAAAGUUUCGGCGGUUGGGGAUGGACUCGCGGCUUAUCAGCUUGUUGGUGGGGUAGGGGCUUACCAAGGCUUUGGCGGGUAGCCGGCCUGAGAGGGUGACCGGCCACAUGGGGACUGCGAUACGGCCCAGACUCCUACGGGAGGCAGCAGUGGGGAAUAUUGCACAAUGGGCGGAAGCCUGAUGCAGCAACGCCGCGUGCGGGAUGACGGCCUUCGGGUUGUAAACCGCUUUCGCCUGUGACGAAGCGUGAGUGACGGUAAUGGGUAAAGAAGCACCGGCUAACUACGUG